RNAcentral lists this long non-coding RNA (417 nucleotides) under Mytilus galloprovincialis (Mediterranean mussel). Lineage: Eukaryota; Metazoa; Mollusca; Bivalvia; Mytilida; Mytilidae. The record is from RNAcentral.
GGUGAAACGUGUUAUUUUCAUUCCUCAAAGUAUAAGGGGUUUGUCUGGGAAGAUAUGGCUGGACUAACUCAUAUAAGUAUGCAGGUGUCAUCCCAUUUAAUAUUUUAUAGAAUAGUACAAGCUUAUGUUUAUUACGUCUAUUCUCCAGAGUUUCUAAACCUAAUUCAAUAUAAAGUUUUUGUCUGGAGGAAUUACGUCGUAAACCUGUAAUUAUUCUAGCGGCUUCUAUCUGAAUAUUUUCAAGAAGCUCAGACUCGUGCUGGGAGCAAUUGCCCCAUACAACAUCCCCAUACUCUAAUAUAGGUCUAAUAAAAGCAUAAUAAAUACGUAUAAGUGAACUCCUAUCUAAUGAAUGCUUAACUUGACGAAGCACAGAUAGACGAGAGCAUGCUUUUUUAUAAAUAAUAUCAAUAUGUG